RNAcentral lists this ribosomal RNA (1437 nucleotides) under uncultured organism. RNAcentral describes it as "16S ribosomal RNA". It matches the Rfam family "Bacterial small subunit ribosomal RNA". The record is from RNAcentral.
CAGGCUUAACACAUGCAAGUCGAGGGGCAGCAUGGUCUUAGCUUGCUAAGGCCGAUGGCGACCGGCGCACGGGUGAGUAACACGUAUCCAACCUGCCGUCUACUCUUGGACAGCCUUCUGAAAGGAAGAUUAAUACAAGAUGGCAUCAUGAGUCCGCAUGUUCACAUGAUUAAAGGUAUUCCGGUAGACGAUGGGGAUGCGUUCCAUUAGAUAGUAGGCGGGGUAACGGCCCACCUAGUCUUCGAUGGAUAGGGGUUCUGAGAGGAAGGUCCCCCACAUUGGAACUGAGACACGGUCCAAACUCCUACGGGAGGCAGCAGUGAGGAAUAUUGGUCAAUGGGCGAGAGCCUGAACCAGCCAAGUAGCGUGAAGGAUGACUGCCCUAUGGGUUGUAAACUUCUUUUAUAAAGGAAUAAAGUCGGGUAUGCAUACCCGUUUGCAUGUACUUUAUGAAUAAGGAUCGGCUAACUCCGUGCCAGCAGCCGCGGUAGUACGGAGGAUCCGAGCGUUAUCCGGAUUUAUUGGGUUUAAAGGGAGCGUAGAUGGAUGUUUAAGUCAGUUGUGAAAGUUUGCGGCUCAACCGUAAAAUUGCAGUUGAUACUGGAUAUCUUGAGUGCAGUUGAGGCAGGCGGAAUUCGUGGUGUAGCGGUGAAAUGCUUAGAUAUCACGAAGAACUCCGAUUGCGAAGGCAGCCUGCUAAGCUGCAACUGACAUUGAGGCUCGAAAGUGUGGGUAUCAAACAGGAUUAGAUACCCUGGUAGUCCACACGGUAAACGAUGAAUACUCGCUGUUUGCGAUAUACGGCAAGCGGCCAAGCGAAAGCGUUAAGUAUUCCACCUGGGGAGUACGCCGGCAACGGUGAAACUCAAAGGAAUUGACGGGGGCCCGCACAAGCGGAGGAACAUGUGGUUUAAUUCGAUGAUACGCGAGGAACCUUACCCGGGCUUAAAUUGCAGAUGAAUUACGGUGAAAGCCGUAAGCCGCAAGGCAUCUGUGAAGGUGCUGCAUGGUUGUCGUCAGCUCGUGCCGUGAGGUGUCGGCUUAAGUGCCAUAACGAGCGCAACCCUUGUUGUCAGUUACUAACAGGUUCCGCUGAGGACUCUGACAAGACUGCCAUCGUAAGAUGUGAGGAAGGUGGGGAUGACGUCAAAUCAGCACGGCCCUUACGUCCGGGGCUACACACGUGUUACAAUGGGGGGUACAGAGGGCCGCUACCACGCGAGUGGAUGCCAAUCCCCAAAACCUCUCUCAGUUCGGACUGGAGUCUGCAACCCGACUCCACGAAGCUGGAUUCGCUAGUAAUCGCGCAUCAGCCACGGCGCGGUGAAUACGUUCCCGGGCCUUGUACACACCGCCCGUCAAGCCAUGGGAGCCGGGGGUACCUGAAGUGCGUAACCGCGAGGAGCGCCCUAGGGUAAAACUGGUGACUGGGGCUAA